GACGUAGGGUGCGAGCGUUGUCCGGAUUUAUUGGGCGUAAAGAGCUCGUAGGCGGCUCGUCGCGUCGGCUGUGAAAACCCGCGGCUUAACCGUGGGCUUGCAGCUGAUACGGGCGGGCUAGAGUUCGGUAGGGGAGACUGGAAUUCCUGGUGUAGCGGUGAAAUGCGCAGAUAUCAGGAGGAACACCAAUGGCGAAGGCAGCUCGCUGGAACGGAACUGACGCUGAGGCGCGAAAGCGUGGGGAGCGAACAGG
Molecule: ribosomal RNA, 253 nt
Filed under: uncultured bacterium
Lineage: Bacteria
Description: partial 16S ribosomal RNA
Rfam family: Bacterial small subunit ribosomal RNA
Source: RNAcentral